GAUUUGAAAGCGAAUACGCAAUAAGUUUCGGCCUUAGCCCUGGAAUUAUAUAUUCCUCAAAUCU
This 64-nucleotide transfer RNA is filed under the name Ascobulla fragilis. RNAcentral describes it as "tRNA-Arg". The record is from RNAcentral. Lineage: Eukaryota; Metazoa; Mollusca; Gastropoda; Volvatellidae.